UACGGGGGGGGCGAACGUUGUUCGGAAUUACUGGGCGUAAAGGGCGCGUAGGCGGAUCUUUAAGUCAGGGGUGAAAUCCUGGAGCUCAACUCCAGAACUGCCUUUGAUACUGGGGAUCUCGAGUCCGGGAGAGGUGAGUGGAACUGCGAGUGUAGAGGUGAAAUUCGUAGAUAUUCGCAAGAACACCAGUGGCGAAGGCGGCUCACUGGCCCGGUACUGACGCUGAGGUGCGAAAGCGUGGGGAGCAAACAGG
RNAcentral lists this ribosomal RNA (253 nucleotides) under uncultured bacterium. RNAcentral's name for it is "partial 16S ribosomal RNA". It matches the Rfam family "Bacterial small subunit ribosomal RNA", at positions 524 to 776 of the family's 1533-position model. The record is from RNAcentral.